UACGUAGGGUGCGAGCGUUGUCCGGAAUUAUUGGGCGUAAAGAGCUCGUAGGCGGUCUGUCGCGUCGGCUGUGAAAUCCCGAGGCUCAACCUCGGGUCUGCAGUCGAUACGGGCAAACUAGAGUAUUGCAGGGGAGACUGGAAUUCCUGGUGUAGCGGUGAAAUGCGCAGAUAUCAGGAGGAACACCGGUGGCGAAGGCGGGUCUCUGGGCAAUACCUGACGCUGAGGAGCGAAAGCGUGGGGAGCGAACAGG
RNAcentral lists this ribosomal RNA (253 nucleotides) under uncultured bacterium. Its description in RNAcentral is "partial 16S ribosomal RNA". It matches the Rfam family "Bacterial small subunit ribosomal RNA", at positions 524 to 776 of the family's 1533-position model. The record is from RNAcentral.